RNAcentral lists this long non-coding RNA (905 nucleotides) under Mus musculus (house mouse). Its description in RNAcentral is "long non-coding RNA chr7:17058536-17059441". Lineage: Eukaryota; Metazoa; Chordata; Mammalia; Rodentia; Muridae. The record is from RNAcentral.
AUAGAAGGAGCCAGCUGGUGGCUGUAGAGGGACUCUCCUUCCCCUCUCAGCCUGUUCUCCGGAUGUUCUGACGGGAAGUACGGGCCUCUCACUGCCUUUCUGGUCCUGCUCUGAAACAGAGUGGGGGCUGCCUCUUCUGGGUCAGGGUUCCAGUUCAGACACCACUACUGCAGUUGCUCAUUAGCUGAGUGACUUUGGGCAGGUUGCUUAACCUCCCUGGGCACAGUAAUAGCCUCCAGCUCCUCAGAGGGUGUUUUUUUGUUUGUUUGUUUGUCUGUUUGCUUAGGUUUGGGGCUGUAUGAGAUGAGGCUGGGAGACAAGUAUACCCCAAACUCAUGAUCCUCCUGCCUCAGCCCCUUCCCUGAGUGCUGGGCUCACAGGACUACAUCACCAUGAUGGAUUCCUCCAGUGGACCGAUGAUUAAAUGAGUUAAUAUAUGCCAGAGGCUUAGGAAGUGAGGCUUGGCAAUUGGCCAGGGUCAGUAACAAAAGAGACUGAAGAGUCUGAGUCUCUUGUACCCUGGGUGCGAUUAUUUGCAUACAGUUAGUCAUGCAUGCACGUGUCUGUGUGUGUGUGUGUGUGUGUGUGUGUGUGUGUGAUUAUGAGUGUGUAAUCACAUACCCAGCUUUUACACCAACAUCUCAAAGGAAUGAAAUAACCGUGAUGGUGUGCUACACACUUAGAAACUAGAGACCCCCCAUCCCCACCUUUACAGCAACCACAUGGACCAGAAGUGAUCAUCUCCCUUUUGAGAAGGUAGGAACAGGGCCAAGCUUGACCACUUGAGUUCGAUUCCCAGAACCCACACGGUGGAUUAGAGAACUGAACGCUGACCUUCACACACUCUCAAAGGCAAACAAACACCUCUUCCCUAUACACACGGGUACAGAAAUAAAUAAAGUCAU